GGGGGCGCUAAGGUUUGACAGGGUUUAAACCAAAACAGGGCAGGUGGAGCUCCAAAGCCUCCUAAAACCGCAAUAGGAGAGCACAACUCUCUGGCGCGGUAAACCUUUGGAAAAAUUUUAAGUGCCACAUAUCAAGCACAACCUGCAUACGCAUUAGCGUAAUGCCAUCUUGCUGCUGACGCCUGAUAAGCAGAACAAGGUGUCAAACAUCAGGCUUAAUAACCAGACGCUCCGGCUGGUUAUGAAAAAAAGGAGCAAGGGCUUUAAUGCUUUUGUUCUUUUUUACAUUAAAGCCUCAACCAAAAGAACUAAACCUGUAGAACUGUAAUGGAAUAAAUCCUGCACGUGGGUUCAAAUCCCACCGUCUCCACAU
Molecule: transfer-messenger RNA, 373 nt
Filed under: Candidatus Parcubacteria bacterium
Lineage: Bacteria; Candidatus Parcubacteria
Also listed under: 1 other name
Rfam family: transfer-messenger RNA
About the family: Bacterial tmRNA, also known as 10Sa RNA or SsrA, is named for its dual tRNA and mRNA-like properties. Its role is to liberate the mRNA from a stalled ribosome.
Source: RNAcentral